GGGGAUUUAGCUCAGUGGCACAGCACCUGUCUGGCAAGCAUGAGGUCCUGAGUUUGGUUCCCAGUAUACCCC
Molecule: transfer RNA, 72 nt
Organism: Cavia porcellus (domestic guinea pig)
Lineage: Eukaryota; Metazoa; Chordata; Mammalia; Rodentia; Caviidae
Rfam family: tRNA
About the family: Transfer RNA (tRNA) molecules are approximately 80 nucleotides in length.
Source: Rfam